RNAcentral lists this ribosomal RNA (460 nucleotides) under uncultured bacterium. RNAcentral's name for it is "partial 16S ribosomal RNA". It matches the Rfam family "Bacterial small subunit ribosomal RNA", at positions 338 to 795 of the family's 1533-position model. The record is from RNAcentral.
CCUACGGGUGGCAGCAGUGAGGAAUAUUGGUCAAUGGGCGUAAGCCUGAACCAGCCAAGUCGCGUGCGGGAUGAAGGUUCUAUGGAUCGUAAACCUCUUUUAUAAGGGAAUAAAGUGUAGGACGUGUCCUAUUUUGUAUGUACCUUAUGAAUAAGGAUCGGCUAACUCCGUGCCAGCAGCCGCGGUAAUACGGAGGAUCCGAGCGUUAUCCGGAUGUAUUGGGUUUAAAGGGUGCGUAGGCGGCCUUAUAAGUCAGCGGUGAAAGUCUGUGGCUCAACCCUAGAACUGCCGUUGAAACUGGGGGGCUUGAGUAUGUUUGAGGUAGGCGGAAUGCGUGGUGUAGCGGUGAAAUGCUUAGAUAUCACGCAGAACCCCGAUUGCGAAGGCAGCCUGCCAAGCCAUGACUGACGCUGAUGCACGAAAGCGUGGGGAUCAAACAGGAUUAGAUACCCUAGUAGUC